Molecule: ribosomal RNA, 253 nt
Filed under: uncultured bacterium
Lineage: Bacteria
Description: partial 16S ribosomal RNA
Rfam family: Bacterial small subunit ribosomal RNA
Source: RNAcentral
UACAGAGGGUGCAAGCGUUAAUCGGAAUUACUGGGCGUAAAGCGCGCGUAGGUGGUUCGUUAAGUUGGAUGUGAAAUCCCCGGGCUCGACCUGGGAACUGCAUCCAAAACUGGCGAGCUAGAGUAUGGUAGAGGGUGGUGGAAUUUCCUGUGUAGCGGUGAAAUGCGUAGAUAUAGGAAGGAACACCAGUGGCGAAGGCGACCACCUGGACUGAUACUGACACUGAGGUGCGAAAGCGUGGGGAGCAAACAGG